Molecule: long non-coding RNA, 260 nt
Filed under: Crocodylus porosus (Australian saltwater crocodile)
Lineage: Eukaryota; Metazoa; Chordata; Crocodylia; Crocodylidae
Description: lncRNA (ENSCPRG00005011464.1)
Source: RNAcentral
CUGGCUUUUCUCAGUGUGGUUUGUGUUGUAACCCUAACAGUCUGUGAGGGUGGUACACAUGGUAAUCUUUGCUGAGCAUAUCCUGAACGUCUGAUGUUUGUUUUGCUGGUUUUGAACUCUCACAUUCUGGAAAGAAAAGGGAAGUAGAAAGACAGCUGGGCAGCACAGACAUUUAUUUUACCUUCAUGUUUCCUUGAACCUCCUUUGACUGAUGGUUGCUUACUGCCAGAAUAUUCCAGUCCCAACACACACAACCUCAC